UAAAAAAAAUCUGCUGGGUCCCCUUAUUAGUGGCUGCUGCCUAACCUUUUUCCACCACCUAAAUUGCCCAAUUCCACUUAUAAUAGCCAGUCCAUUAAUCCAAAAAGGGGUUUGGGUCUUUUACCCAUAAGUGGAAAUUAAAAUGAUUCCCACAUCUAAAGUUUCACCACUUCAAACGUCUGUAAGUAUACCGUUAUAAUUCGGAACUUUAGCCUAUGCAUUCGUGGGUUCAAGAUUUAUUUAAAAACACUAGUUGUAACUUCGAAAUGUCAACGAAAGAUAAAGAUUGUUUAUGAAACUUCCAACUCGAUAACUAAUCAAUUACUGAACUUAUAAUUAGUGGAAUUAAAAUUAACUAAUAAAGAUAACAUAAUCGCGAAAUACGAAUUUCAAUUUACGAAAUACGUAAUAAAUGGUGAAAUUCCGGGGAUGGGAUUUCACAACUUCUCCCGGCCUAACUGCCAACACCAGAUCCUCGCCCCAGACGGCAUAGUGUCCACUAGGUACGCACAAAUAGUUACGCCUCUCAUAAAUAACAACUUCAUAGUAUAAAGUCAUUCAUCAUCUAUACUAUAAAGAGGGGUUUCUAAAACAUGUUCUAGCAUCCUAUCGUCAUCCAUCAGAUAGUCUACCAGUUCAUGAUUUUUAUAGAAAAUACGAUAUUUUAAAAUAUAACUUAAUAUAGGCCAACAAUUAAUUCCUCACAAAAAACAAGACGAUAAAUAACAUAUUUCAUAAAUCUGCUUAACAUAAAAUCAGUUAAUAAUUCGUAAGGCAUGCAUUUCAUUUAUGCAAUUAAACUAUGAAAUUAUGCAAAUUUUAGAAAGGGUCCACUCACAGAUACUCCUUAGCAGUAGAGUUGUGCGGAUAAGGAUUAUGAAUUCCCUCACUAGCAACUUCACCUAAGCACAAAAAUGUAAUAAAUAAAUAAAAGGAUUUUCUAAAGGAUUUGGACUUGAACUAAAUAAAAUAAAGGAUUUGGUUUGAAUGGGUUAAGGUCUAACGGGUUUUAGGAUCAUAUGAUUUUUGGGUUAAAAGGGUUUGGGGUGAAAAAGAGUGGUUUAGGCUUAAACCUAAACCCACACUCACACACACGCACUGUACACACACACACGCACUGUACACAC
RNAcentral lists this long non-coding RNA (1127 nucleotides) under Malus domestica (apple). Its description in RNAcentral is "long non-coding RNA (MDOM_LNC011999)". Lineage: Eukaryota; Viridiplantae; Streptophyta; Magnoliopsida; Rosales; Rosaceae. The record is from RNAcentral.